UGCCUACGGGACGCAGCAGUGAGGAAUAUUGGUCAAUGGUCGGGAGACUGAACCAGCCAAGCCGCGUGAGGGAUGAAGGUACAGAGUAUCGUAAACCUCUUUUGUCAGGGAACAAAGGCGGGGACGCGUCCCCGGAUGAGUGUACCUGAAGAAAAAGCAUCGGCUAACUCCGUGCCAGCAGCCGCGGUAAUACGGAGGAUGCGAGCGCUAUCCGGAUUUAUUGGGUUUAAAGGGGGCGCAGGCGGUCUGUUAAGUCAGCGGUCAAAUGCCGGGGCUCAACCC
RNAcentral lists this ribosomal RNA (282 nucleotides) under uncultured bacterium. RNAcentral's name for it is "partial 16S ribosomal RNA". It matches the Rfam family "Bacterial small subunit ribosomal RNA", at positions 335 to 615 of the family's 1533-position model. The record is from RNAcentral.